AGACCCGAAACCCGGUGAUCUAGCCAUGGGCAGGUUGAAGGUUGGGUAACACUAACUGGAGGACCGAACCGACUAAUGUUGAAAAAUUAGCGGAUGACCUGUGGCUGGGGGUGAAAGGCCAAUCAAACCGGGAGAUAGCUGGUUCUCCCCGAAAGCUAUUUAGGUAGCGCCUCGUGAAUUCAUCUCCGGGGGUAGAGCACUGUUUCGGCUAGGGGGCCAUCCCGGCUUACCAACCCGAUGCAAACUGCGAAUACCGGAGAAUGUUAUCACGGGAGACACACGGCGGGUGCUAACGUCCGUCGUGAAGAGGGAAACAACCCAGACCGCCAGCUAAGGUCCCAAAGUCAUGGUUAAGUGGGAAACGAUGUGGGAAGGCCCAGACAGCCAGGAUGUUGGCUUAGAAGCAGCCAUCAUUUAAAGAAAGCGUAAUAGCUCACUGGUCGAGUCGGCCUGCGCGGAAGAUGUAACGGGGCUAAACCAUGCACCGAAGCUGCGGCAGCGAACGUAUCACCCAAGACAACUUUACGGAGUUGACGAUUGACGGAGCGAAGCGACGUCAAAGCGUUCAUUAAAGUCGAGUUGGCUUAGGGAUACGUUCGUUGGGUAGGGGAGCGUUCUGUAAGCCUGUGAAGGUGUGUCGUGAGGCAUGCUGGAGGUAUCAGAAGUGCGAAUGCUGACAUAAGUAACGAUAAAGCGGGUGAAAAGCCCGCUCGCCGGAAGACCAAGGGUUCCUGUCCAACGUUAAUCGGGGCAGGGUGAGUCGACCCCUAAGGCGAGGCCGAAAGGCGUAGUCGAUGGGAAACGGGUUAAUAUUCCCGUACUUGGUGUUACUGCGAAGGGGGGACGGAGAAGGCUAUGUUGGCCGGGCGACGGUUGUCCCGGUUUAAGCGUGUAGGUGUGUGUUCCAGGUAAAUCCGGUUCACUUUAACACUGAGGCGUGAUGACGAGGCACUACGGUGCUGAAGCAACAAAUGCCCUGCUUCCAGGAAAAGCCUCUAAGCAU
Molecule: ribosomal RNA, 1003 nt
Filed under: Salmonella enterica
Lineage: Bacteria; Pseudomonadati; Pseudomonadota; Gammaproteobacteria; Enterobacterales; Enterobacteriaceae
Also listed under: 1 other name
Description: partial 23S ribosomal RNA
Rfam family: Bacterial large subunit ribosomal RNA
Source: RNAcentral